Long non-coding RNA from Rhea pennata, 2032 nucleotides. RefSeq lists it as uncharacterized. The record is from RefSeq and is a predicted model, not a curated record. Lineage: Eukaryota; Metazoa; Chordata; Aves; Rheiformes; Rheidae. The transcript has 5 exons.
UCUUCGGGGAACGAUGGUGAAGCGGCCAGAGUUACGGGAGAGGGAGAGAGAGAAAGAGAGAAAAGGAAAGAGGGGGAGAGAGGAAAACAGAGAGAGAGGGAGAGAGAGAGAAAGCGUGCGCCCUGUAAAACGAAGAGGUCGUUUUCGGAGGGCUCGGUUAGCGCAACCCGCAGCUAGUUACCUGGCAAUGGCAUCUGGGGGAGGAGGAAGCCCGUAGGUGGAGGAGACGUUAGAGCCUCGUUUAAAGCCUCGUGGAAUGAAUUAGCAUCUCCUGCCCGCAAAUUCCUAGGACGAGGCGAGCCUUUUCCAGUAAUGCUUUCCGCAUCUGGUGACUCUGUGGGAGCAGCACCGUCAGAAAAGAGCGGUAAGGGAAAGCGGGUGCCAACGGCACCGUCCUCGCGUCCCCUUUGGGGCCGGAACGCAAAUUCUCUGGCUGUGAGAAAGACCGUUUAGCAGCGCCCUGGGCUGUAACUGUCUGCGAUACUUCUCCCUUUGACAGCACAGAGGCGGUCCGACGCGCUCAGGUCCCUCUAAAGUGGUAACGCCAGGCCUAGGACUAGACAGCAGGGGAUCAUCUGUCCGAGCGGCACGAUGAGCACUAACCUUACCGAGCAGGGGGUUACUGUGCGGGUGUUACAGGAAGGGGAUGUUGCGCGUGUCUGCGUUGACCGAGGGGCAGAGCACGUUGCGCCCAAAAAUGCGGACAGAGAAGGUUUCUGACAGAUUAAUCUCUAGCGGCUACUUAGUCUAACUUCCCUUUCGCAGCAAACCCGAGUGUCGUCGUAGCCCCCAGAGCAGGGCUGGGGGAAGCGGUACCUGCGGGUUGCGCGUUCUCGUUUACCUUGCGCGCGUGCGCGCGCGCGUGUUUGCGUUAGAGCUGCUUUUGUGCUUAGAAGCACCUUUGGAUUCUUACGAUUUUCCGCAGAGCUUUGCUUUGCUCCGUACUUUCGUAGGGUGAUGGAUUUUACGGUGCCUGCGUCGACAGGUGCUGGCCGGCUAAGUUGUAAUGUCCCGAGGGAGACCCUUAGGCGAGGCCGAGGCGCUCGGGGAGGGAGCCUGCCGGAAGAACGUCGCCCGGGAGGGGUCGGCGGCCUCGAGCUGUAGGCGCUGACGCGCGUGGCUCCUUCUGUCGGACGCAGAGAGGUUGCGGAAACUUUAGCUCGGCUUUACGCCGUACGGCGGUAGUAUUUUUGUGUUUCUAAAUUGCGUUAAUCCUCGGCAUUCUGAACAGCAGGGAACGACGACGGGCCGUCGUGAAGAACUGCAGGCUGCCGCCCUCCGACCUCGGCAGGUGACGCGCCGAGAGCAGCCGAUUCGGGAGAAUCCGAAUGCCGGUCUUGGCGAGUUCUCUGCCUGUUGCCGACGAGGAGCCUUUGACAGUAGGAAGCACACCUGCUUCUAGUCUCAGUUGAAGGACGGGUCGCCUAGCUCAGCGUCUAACAAACCCCACAACCGGUGGCCCGGUCGCUAUGGCGCUGCUGUUGCUAGCAGAGCCACCAGGUCUGUGUGAAGCCUUAGGUGCCUGCGUGGAGCAGUGUUUUGGUCACUCACCUGGAAGAAGCAGCGAGGCCUAAAACAAGACUUUGUUGCGGCUACAUGGAGCUGAGUGCUCUCCCUGAAGGUGAAAGCGGAAGGGGUAGGUCGUCGGCUACUCGGACACCUGCCGCGUCAAGGGCGGCAGCGGGAGCUGACCCUUCCCCGACGGACGGACGCCGGUGAGGACUCUGGGUGUCACAAGGGUAGUCCCCGGAAGGGGGCAUCUCCAAGAGAAGCGGCUAGACCCAGCGACCCAGCCGUUCGCUUUGGUCGCCACCUGUGAGGCGAGCAUCCGAGCGCAACGGGAGUCCGGGAGCUGUAUCGAGAAGAGCUGGAACCAACGACAGCAAAUGCUGACGGAGAGGGAAGCCGGACGAACGGCGUGUAGGGGAUUAAUACCCAAGGGACGGGGUUGAAACGAGGAGGCAGAAACGCAGCGGACCCUCGGUAUCCCCAGCAGCUGCCAGGGUAGCGGCAGGUGUUCCGCCACGGGCGA